GUACUCGCUUCAGUAGCACAUAUACUAAAAUUGGAACGAUACAGAGAAGAUUAGCACGCCCCUGCACAAGGAUGGCACGCAAAUUCGUGAAGCGUUCCAUAAAAAAAUUUUU
This is a small nuclear RNA of Callithrix jacchus (white-tufted-ear marmoset), 112 nucleotides long. NCBI's taxonomy places the organism in Eukaryota, Metazoa, Chordata, Mammalia, Primates, Cebidae. The record is from Ensembl.